AUCUACAGCUUGCAGGGUAAAAAGGAGGAAGAACAAGAGCAGUUUGAGACAUAUCGAAGUCUUGUACCUGAAGAGUUUCCCCAGAGAGGAUUCCUUGAUGAUGUGGUACUGGCAGCCAAAACAGAAUCUCAAGAGCAUCUGGAGAAGGAUUUUGAAGCUGAAUGCUCCUAUAGGAAGUGAAAAUCAAUCAUCAAUAGGCAGAGAGAGAUAUAUACUAUUGAGUGGGUGGCAUCAAGGUCAUGCAUCUUUGUCAGUGCCUGCAAAAAGGAAAUAGAGCACAAGAACUAUCAAUUGGGGGGCAGCAAUAAGUUCCAAUUGUUCAAGGAGCAGGGACUUCGAGGCACUUUUAGCAGCUAUAAGUUUUGUAGGAAAUUAUUUCUUCAGAUUUGAAUUUCCAAGCUACAUGUAAGAGAUUUUUGCAUUACAAUCACUUAAAAGAGAUUGCAGCACUAGUUCUGGUUGGAGGAACUACUAUAUUUCCAGCAGUGUCAUGAACAAUGAUAGUGGAGAAGUCUGGGAUACUUUUCACUAAUUGAGUAUAUUGGGAUGGACUUCUGUCGAUUUUGAUAUGGUUAUAUUGAUAGAUAGGCUGAUUGGCACCCUCUGAUGUUGGUGUUAUUGGAUAAUGUAACUCAAAUCUCAUUGGAUUGAUUGUUCCUUCCUUCCGUUCAGUGUAGAUUAAGGCAUUGGUAAAAUUAGAAUGUGAUUUGAUACUUUUGGUUUAA
Macadamia integrifolia is the source of this 725-nucleotide long non-coding RNA. RefSeq lists it as uncharacterized. The record is from RefSeq and is a predicted model, not a curated record. The transcript is spliced from 2 exons. NCBI's taxonomy places the organism in Eukaryota, Viridiplantae, Streptophyta, Magnoliopsida, Proteales, Proteaceae.